RNAcentral lists this long non-coding RNA (708 nucleotides) under Cyanistes caeruleus (blue tit). Its description in RNAcentral is "lncRNA (ENSCCEG00000009075.1)". The record is from RNAcentral. Lineage: Eukaryota; Metazoa; Chordata; Aves; Passeriformes; Paridae.
CUCCAGAGCUGAGGUGGAGCACCCCCCUCUAAAAAUACCUGCACAGGUGCCAUUGUGAUGCAGUGAAAAAGAAAGAAUCCACUGGUUUUAAAGAAGUUGCUACUGUGCUGCAGGCUGGAUGAAGCAGAGGCUGGAAGGUGCCAAUCCUGGCCCUGACACGGUGCUGACGGGAAGCUGGGAGCUGUCAGAAAGACAUAUAUUUCUACAGCCUCUUUCUUAGUGCUGUUUUUCCAGAUUUGGUCUUCAGGCUAAGCUGGGACUUCACUGUGUUGUGGACCCAUCUUGCAGCUCUGCCACCUGAUGUCCAGUAGUACAAACAUCCAGGAGCUUCUGCCUGGAAACAGUGAACCUCACUUGGACUGGAGCAGCUUUUAUCCUGCUGUUGAUGUUGGCUGGAUGGAGGAGCUUGAUCUUAUGGUCAGAUGGAGGAAGAGACAGGAGACAAAACCAGAAGGGAACAUUCAGAAAAGAGAGUUCAUCCAUCAGUUCCAGCCUCCAACUAAGCCGGGGACAUGUGGAUCUGACUUGGUGAAUCUUUGGAAGAGUGCAGAUAUGAAAAUUCCAGUUUGAGGAAGCCAGAGCUUUGAUUGUUGACCUUUGCUUGUUGGUGAAAUCUUAAAACUCCAUUUCUUCUUGGCAUCUCCUCAGCCAUUUUCUGCACGAUUUAUGCUCCAAGAAGAGCAGGGCUUGUUCCCAUGAUGAUAAUAA